ACAACGGAUCUCUUGGUUCCCGCAUCGAUGAAGAACGCAGCGAAAUGCGAAAAUUAAUGUGAAUUGCAGAAUUCCGUGAAUCAUUCGAGUCUUUGAACGCACAUUGCGCCCUCUGGUAUU
Molecule: ribosomal RNA, 120 nt
Filed under: Phaeophyscia ciliata
Lineage: Eukaryota; Fungi; Ascomycota; Lecanoromycetes; Caliciales; Physciaceae
Description: 5.8S ribosomal RNA
Rfam family: 5.8S ribosomal RNA
About the family: 5.8S ribosomal RNA (5.8S rRNA) is a component of the large subunit of the eukaryotic ribosome.
Source: RNAcentral